RNAcentral lists this ribosomal RNA (473 nucleotides) under Oligodon lacroixi. RNAcentral's name for it is "partial large subunit ribosomal RNA". It matches the Rfam family "Bacterial large subunit ribosomal RNA", at positions 1856 to 2591 of the family's 2925-position model. The record is from RNAcentral. Lineage: Eukaryota; Metazoa; Chordata; Lepidosauria; Squamata; Colubridae.
CGCCUGCCCAGUGAACAUUAAACGGCCGCGGUACCCUAACCGUGCAAAGGUAGCAUAAUCAUUUGUCUACUAAUUAUAGACCUGUAUGAAAGGCAAAAUGAAAGUCUGACUGUCUCUUAUAAUAAACCAAUUAAACUGAUCUCCUAGUAAAAAAGCUAGAAUUAAACCAUAAGACCAGAAGACCCUGUGAAGCUUAAACUACACUAUUAAACCCAGUAAUAACUACUUUCGGUUGGGGCGACCUUGGAAAAAAAAAGAACUUCCAACAAUACGACCUACCUCGUACCACUCACACAGGCCCACAAGCCAACUAAUGACCCAGCAAAGCUGAUAAUUGAACCAAGUUACUCCAGGGAUAACAGCGCAAUCCUCUUCAAGAGCCCAUAUCAAAAAGAGGGUUUACGACCUCGAUGUUGGAUCAGGACAUCCUAAUGGUGCAGACGCUAUUAAGGGUUCGUUUGUUCAACGAUCAA